RNAcentral lists this ribosomal RNA (468 nucleotides) under uncultured bacterium. RNAcentral's name for it is "partial 16S ribosomal RNA". It matches the Rfam family "Bacterial small subunit ribosomal RNA", at positions 28 to 507 of the family's 1533-position model. The record is from RNAcentral.
GACGAACGCUGGCGGCGUGCUUAACACAUGCAAGUCGAACGGAAAGGCCCUGCUUUUGUGGGGUGCUCGAGUGGCGAACGGGUGAGUAACACGUGAGUAACCUGCCCUUGACUUUGGGAUAACUUCAGGAAACUGGGGCUAAUACCGGAUAGGAGCUCCUGCUGCAUGUUGGGGGUUGGAAAGUUUCGGCGGUAGGGGAUGGACUCGCGGCUUAUCAGCUUGUUGGUGGGGUAGUGGCUGACCAAGGCUUUGACGGGUAGCCGGCCUGGGAGGGUGACCGGCCACAUUGGGACUGAGAUACGGACCAGACUCCUACGGGAGGCAGCAGUGGGGAAUAUUGCACAAUGGGCGGAAGCCUGAUGCAGAAACGCCGCGUGCGGGAUGACGGCCUUCGGGUUGUAAACCGCUUUCGCCUGUGACGAAGCGUGAGUGACGGUAAUGGGUAAAGAAGCACCGGCUAACUACGUG